AUUGAACGCUGGCGGCAGGCCUAACACAUGCAAGUCGAACGAGUGGCGGACGGGUGAGUAAUGUCUGGGAAACUGCCUGAUGGAGGGGGAUAACUACUGGAAACGGUAGCUAAUACCGCAUACCAUCGGAUGUGCCCAGAUGGGAUUAGCUAGUAGGUGGGGUAAAGGCUCACCUAGGCGACGAUCCCUAGCUGGUCUGAGAGGAUGACCAGCAAAACGAGAACUGAAACACGGUCCAGACUCCUACGGGAGUCAGUAGUGGGGAAUGUUGCACAAUGGGAGCAAGCCGGAGACAGCCAUAACGCGUGUAUGAAGGAGGCCUUCAGGUUGUAAAGUACAUUCAGCGGGGAGGCGUUACCCGCAGGAAGAGCGCCAGCUAACUCCGUGCCAGCAGCCACGGUAAUAC
Molecule: ribosomal RNA, 406 nt
Filed under: uncultured bacterium
Lineage: Bacteria
Description: partial 16S ribosomal RNA
Rfam family: Bacterial small subunit ribosomal RNA
Source: RNAcentral